Molecule: long non-coding RNA, 2473 nt
Organism: Ornithodoros turicata
Lineage: Eukaryota; Metazoa; Arthropoda; Arachnida; Ixodida; Argasidae
Exons: 2
Source: RefSeq, a predicted model, not a curated record
GCCCCGAUAAGCUGUGCAAGUCAUGCUGCGGGCAUAUCUUCUCCUCGGAGGAGGAUAUGAUCCCGCAGCUGACUGUGGACCACAUGCCAUCCGUAUGGCAGUGCGUGGAGCCAAGCACCACGGUGACAAUGAGUGACUAACGUUUAGCAUUCUUGGCUACUGUUGUAUAGCAGUUUGGAAUGUAAUAUUUUAGCAGUACGUUACCUAGUUUUUAAUAGUACUGUGACUAACUUUCAGCAUUUAGUUAGCCUAAUCGAUUAAUGUUUUGGUAGCAGUUUAGAACGUAUAUGUUAGUAAUGCCUUAGUAUUGAGUUAGUUCGUAGUAGUAGUGUGACUAGUGUUUAUAAUAUAGAUAGUAUAAUCGCCUAGUGUUUUAGUAGCAGUUAAGAACGUAUAUUUUAUUAAUGCUUUAGUAUUGAAUUAGUUCGUAGUAGUAGAGUGACUAGGGUUUAGAAGUUAGAUAGUAUAAUCGCUUAGUGUUGUAGUAGCAGUUUAGAGUGUAUAUUUUAGUAAUGCUGUAGUAUUGAAUUAGUUCGUAGUAGUAGAGUGACUAGUGUUUAGAAUUUAGAUAGUAUAAUCGCUUAGUGUUGUAGUAGCAGUUUAGAGUGUAUAUUUUAGUAGUAAUUCGGUAUUUAGUUAGUUCGUAGUAGAGUACCUAACGUUUUGCAUUCAUGUAAUAUAGUCGUUUAGUGUUUAGCAGCUUACGUUUGCUGUUCAUUUAGUAUAAUGGUUUAGAUUUUUAGUAGCUGUUUAAAAUGCUAUAUUUUAGUAGUACUUCGGUAUUUAGUUAAUUCUUACUAGUUGAAUGACUAACGUUUACCACUUAUAUCGUAUAGUAAUCGUUUAGCAGUUUUGUAGUAGUUUGGAAUGUGCAUUCUUGUAGCACUUUAGUAUACAGUUAGUUCUUAGUAGUAGGGUGACUAACUUUCAGCAUUUAGUUAGUAUACUCGCUUAGUGUUUAGUAGCAGUUUAGAAAGUAUAUGUUAGUAGCACUUUAGUGUGUAGAUAGUUCUUAGUAGUAGUCAGUAAGGUUUAGCGUUCAGGUAGUAUAAUCGUUUAGUGUUUUGGUAGCAGUUUAUAAUGUAUAUUUUAGUAGCACUUCAGUAUUGAGUUACUUCGUAGUAGUAGAGUGACUAGUGUUUAGAAUUAGAUAGCAUAAUCGCCUAGUGUUUUAGUAGCAGUUUAGAACGUAUAUUUUAGUAAUGCCUUAGUAUUGAGUUAGUUCGUAGUAGUAGAGUGACUAGAGUUGAGAAUUUAGAUAGUAUAAUCGCCUCGUGGUGGAGUGGCAAUUUAGAAUGUAUAUUUUAGUAGUACUUCAGUAUGUAGUUAAUUCUUACUAGCAGAGUGACUAACGUUUACGACUUAUAUCGUAUAGUAAUCGUUUAGCAGUUUUGUAGUAGUUUGGAAUGUGCAUUCUUGUAGCACUUUAGUAUACAGUUAGUUCUUAGUAGUAGGGGGACUAACUUUCAGCAUUUAAUUAGUAUGCUCGGUUAGUGUUUAGUAGCAGAUUAGAAAGUAUAUGUUAGUAGCACUUUAGUGUGUAGAUAGUUCGUGUGUAGCGAAGCAAUUCUGCUGUGGGGGCGGGGUCAAGUGUAUCAGUUAUGUCUUCACUGACUAUAGGAAAAUCUUGGGGCUUCGUCGUAGCGUUGAGGGGUCGUAAACUCGUCGUCAUUCGCGUAUAUAUCAAUUUUUGUGUCCUCCGGAUCAAUGAGAACCAGGCAGCCAAGCAAUAUGGAAUUGGAUGCAGCAAGACUAACUUCCUUUGAGUGCUUACCGUCGCUUGGAAUUGUGGUAGUUUACUAAUACAAAAGAAACAAACGGCCUCCAAACUGUUCCCAUUUCUUCCCUACCGGUCCACAGUCCACGACGUGUCAAGGUCAGCGAAAGCGAAAUGUGAAGGAUUAUUGUUCGUUCCCCCGCUGAGCAAGCGCCCAAGAUGCAACGCGUGUGCAAGACCACUGGGAUUUACCGAACCCCUCCACUGGGUGCCGGAAGACUAGCUUCCUUUGUGUACACACGGGGAGCUAAUAUUCAGGUGGAUUAGUCACAGGCGCUAGAAUAUUUCCAAGCCUAGAGGAACGCCACCACGUGUCGUAGCAAUGAAUUAAAAACAACAAUGAACGAAGAAGUUCGACUAUCUUCGUUUAUGGUGCACUGGUAUGUUCUCGGCGCCACAGCAGUUCGAAGAAGAAGAAUGUUCUAGUUCACCAUAAACGAUGACAUCGGGGUAGGUAGGGAACCAAUCACAAGCUGUCAGAUCGUCAAUCAGGACUCGCUUUCUGCAAGGAGCCACUCCGCCUGUGAAAGCUAGCUCAGAACACCACCCACAACCACCAAUGUCCAGAGGACGUCCUGAAAUGGUCGGAAUAUCUUUGUCAGAAAGUGACGUAAAUAGGAUGUCUUCUAGAUGUCUAUUUGCGAUGUCCGUUGGGACAAUAAAAGCGUACAUCCUGUAGAUAUCCUACAGUUAUCC